GCUUCAGGGGCGAAUAUUAACGUUGUUGCAGUCAAAAAGCUCGUAGUCGAAUUUUUUUGUGGGUGGGGUGUGAUUUGAUUGGGUGUAACCUUCAUGGUAGCACCUGCUGGCAAUUCUUGGUGUCGUAAGACGCCUUUUUUCACUGUAAAAAAAUUAGAGUGUUUCAAACAGGACGUAGGUCUUGAAUAGAAUAGUAUGGA
RNAcentral lists this ribosomal RNA (200 nucleotides) under uncultured eukaryote. RNAcentral describes it as "partial 18S ribosomal RNA". It matches the Rfam family "Eukaryotic small subunit ribosomal RNA", at positions 588 to 813 of the family's 1831-position model. The record is from RNAcentral.